Molecule: ribosomal RNA, 504 nt
Filed under: uncultured Glomus
Lineage: Eukaryota; Fungi; Glomeromycota; Glomeromycetes; Glomerales; Glomeraceae
Description: SSU rRNA
Rfam family: Eukaryotic small subunit ribosomal RNA
Source: RNAcentral
AGCAGCCGCGGUAAUUCCAGCUCCAAUAGCGUAUAUUAAAGUUGUUGCAGUUAAAAAGCUCGUAGUUGAAUUUCGGGAUCAGUACGCUGGUCAUGCCUUUGGUAUGCACUGGUGUCACUGGUUUCUCCCUUCUGAAGAUCCGUGAUGUCAUUAAUUUGGUGUCGCGGGGAAUCAGGACUGUUACUUUGAAAAAAUUAGAGUGUUUAAAGCAGGCUCACGCUUGAAUACAUUAGCAUGGAAUAAUGAAAUAGGACGUUUGACCCUAUUUUGUUGGUUUCUAGGAUCGACGUAAUGAUUAAUAGGGAUAGUUGGGGGCAUUAGUAUUCAAUUGUCAGAGGUGAAAUUCUUGGAUUUAUUGAAGACUAACUACUGCGAAAGCAUUUGCCAAGGAUGUUUUCAUUAAUCAAGAACGAAAGUUAGGGGAUCGAAGACGAUCAGAUACCGUCGUAGUCUUAACCAUAAACUAUGCCGACUAGGGAUCGGAUGAUGUUAAUUUUAUAAUGA